AUACGGAGGGUGCGAGCGUUAAUCGGAAUUACUGGGCGUAAAGCGUACGUAGGCGGUUGGUUAAGUUAGAUGUGAAAGCCCCGGGCUUAACCUGGGAACUGCAUUUAAAACUGGCGAACUAGAGUUGAGUAGAGGGAAGUGGAAUUUCAGGUGUAGCGGUGAAAUGCGUAGAGAUCUGAAGGAACACCAGUGGCGAAGGCGACUCCCUGGACUCGAACUGACGCUGAGGUACGAAAGCGUGGGUAGCAAACGGGAUUAGAUACCCCGGUAGUCC
RNAcentral lists this ribosomal RNA (274 nucleotides) under uncultured bacterium. RNAcentral describes it as "partial 16S ribosomal RNA". It matches the Rfam family "Bacterial small subunit ribosomal RNA", at positions 523 to 796 of the family's 1533-position model. The record is from RNAcentral.